RNAcentral lists this non-coding RNA (329 nucleotides) under Papio anubis (olive baboon). The record is from RNAcentral. Lineage: Eukaryota; Metazoa; Chordata; Mammalia; Primates; Cercopithecidae.
GCUGGGCGUGGUGGCACACGCCUGUAAUCCCAGCUACUCGGGAGGCUGAGGCAGGAGAAUCCCUUGAACCCAGGAGGCGGAGGUUGUAGUGAACUGAGAUUGUGCCACUGCACUACAUCCUGGGUGACAGAGCAAGACUCCAUCUCAAAAAAAAAAAAAAAAGAAAGAAACCUGAGUGGAAAGAUGAAUUAUUUACACUUACACUUUUUUUUUUUUUUUUUUUUUUUGAGACGGAGUCUCACUCUUGUCACCCAGGCUGGAAUGCAGUGGCAUAAUCUCGGCUCACUGCAAUGUCCGCCUCCUGGGUUCAAGCGAUUCUCCUGCCUCAG